RNAcentral lists this transfer RNA (73 nucleotides) under Cordylochernes scorpioides. RNAcentral describes it as "tRNA-Thr". It matches the Rfam family "tRNA". From Rfam's summary of the family: Transfer RNA (tRNA) molecules are approximately 80 nucleotides in length. Their secondary structure includes four short double-helical elements and three loops (D, anti-codon, and T loops). Further hydrogen bonds mediate the characteristic L-shaped molecular structure. tRNAs have two regions of fundamental functional importance: the anti-codon, which is responsible for specific mRNA codon recognition, and the 3' end, to which the tRNAs corresponding amino acid is attached (by aminoacyl-tRNA synthetases). tRNAs cope with the degeneracy of the genetic code in two manners: having more than one tRNA (with a specific anti-codon) for a particular amino acid; and 'wobble' base-pairing, i.e. permitting non-standard base-pairing at the 3rd anti-codon position. The record is from RNAcentral. Lineage: Eukaryota; Metazoa; Arthropoda; Arachnida; Pseudoscorpiones; Chernetidae.
UCCAGGGUAGCCUAGUGGACAUGGCAUCUGCCAGGUAAGCGGAAGGUCGUGGGUUCGAUUCCCGCCCCUGGAC